This 546-nucleotide ribosomal RNA is filed under the name uncultured alveolate. RNAcentral's name for it is "SSU rRNA". It matches the Rfam family "Eukaryotic small subunit ribosomal RNA", at positions 598 to 1149 of the family's 1831-position model. The record is from RNAcentral.
CGUAUAUUAAAGUUGUUGCGGUUAAAAAGCUCGUAGUUGGAUUUCUGUUGAGGACGGCCGGUCCGCACUAUGUGCGUGUAUCUGGUUCGGCCUCGGCAUCCUCUUGAGGAACGUUUCUGCGCUUGAUUGCGUGGAGCGGUAUUCAAGACUUUUACUUUGAGGAAUUUAGAGUGUUCACGGCAGGCAGGCGCCUUGAAUAUGUUAGCAUGGAAUAAUAAUAUAGGAUCUUGGUUCUAUUUGUUGGUUUCUAGGGCUAAGGUAAUGAUUAAUAGGGAUAAUUGGGGGCAUUUGUAUUAACGCGUCAGAGGUGGAAUUCUUGGAUUGCGUUACGACAAACUACUGCGAAAGCAUUUGCCAAGGAUGUUUUCAUUGAUCAAGAACGAAAGUAUGGGGAUCGAAGAUGAUUAGAUACCGUCGUAGCCUAUACCAUAAACUAUGCCGACUAGGGAUUGGAGGUCGUUCUUUUUAUGACUCCUUCAGCACCUUAUGAGAAAUCAAAGUCUUUGGGUUCCGGGGGGAGUAUAGUCGCAAGGCUGAAACUUAAAG